Molecule: small nucleolar RNA, 136 nt
Organism: Pteronotus mesoamericanus
Lineage: Eukaryota; Metazoa; Chordata; Mammalia; Chiroptera; Mormoopidae
Product: small nucleolar RNA SNORA42/SNORA80 family
Exons: 1
Source: RefSeq, a predicted model, not a curated record
GAAUGUUAAUGGGUUAUGGCGGGCCCUUUUCUGUGGGCCUCUCAUGGUGUGCUCAUGCCAGAGUAAAUUGCAGCCUUGAACCAUUUCCCAGCCGUCUUACGUGUGGGCUGUGAGCGCGGAAGGGGGCUGUACAGUG